This is a long non-coding RNA of Lontra canadensis (Northern American river otter), 643 nucleotides long. RefSeq lists it as uncharacterized. The transcript is spliced from 5 exons. The record is from RefSeq and is a predicted model, not a curated record. Lineage: Eukaryota; Metazoa; Chordata; Mammalia; Carnivora; Mustelidae.
AAUAAAUAAACAAAUCCAGCCUCGGCCAGCACCCGGUGAGGCGAGCCUGGCGCACACCUGAAGGCUGGUCUGUGAUUCACGGCAGAAUGGAUCACCAUGUAAACACUCCUAGGAAGUGAGUAAUUACUCUUUACCCGGACGCCGUUUGCAGGAAAAGCACGCCGAUGGGAUGCCACACUCACCCAAAACCUCAGUCAACUAUAUUUAUGAGUUUACAUUCAUUUGAUGAAUUACGACAGGCACACCUGUUUGGCUUCGUGGACUGCAGACACCGCCAGGGAAUGGUUGAGCAGAAAACUGCGUGAUCCCAAGGGCUGGCUGAAGGAUAAGACCCAAGACAGCAAAGGGCAGGGUGGAGACUAACUAGAAUGGGAAGAGAACAUAACAUUGUCCUCAGGUCAGACAUCUAAAGUUAUGGAAAAUUGCGCCACUAAAAUAAGAGGUAACUUGCUUCAUUAUCACAUCAAAUUGCUUUCAUGGGAACUCAUCUUCCAGCUCCCUGCAAACAACACUGCUUGAUACAAAAACAGACAGAAAAGUGAAGCUUCCCUGGAGCUAUCAACACCUGGCAAACCUGAAGUCUGAAUUUCACUUCUUCUACAUCUCCCUAUGAAAGCUGUGCGGGCUUGCUGGAGAGGAAAAA